This 883-nucleotide long non-coding RNA is filed under the name Salmo salar (Atlantic salmon). RNAcentral's name for it is "lncRNA (ENSSSAG00000085064.1)". Lineage: Eukaryota; Metazoa; Chordata; Actinopteri; Salmoniformes; Salmonidae. The record is from RNAcentral.
GAAAAGAAAAGCAACAAUCUGGAUUCUGGAGGGCCGGAGAGCACAUAGGGAUGCUCGAGCGUUGUCACAGCGACACAACUUGCUAGGACACUGUGCACGCGCCCCGCCGAGAGGCAGCGUGAGCGAGCUAAAGAAGCAAUCGCACAAGCGCAGCAUCUUUUCGGUGCAUGGCUAUAACGGGUCGGAGGGGAAUCACGGAAAACCACCGCUAUUACCCAGAGACGAAGCAGGCAAGCGCCACCAUGAUUCAAAUCGUCCUCGCUAUUUAAACUGUCGUUUGAGCUAUCCUCUCCACCCGCAAAGGGCAAGCGGGGAUGUUUUUUUUGGUUGAAAAUCAACCUGCUUGCAAAAUCACUGUUGCCAAUUUAUGUAGACAAGGAAUUAGACAAGAUAUAGUUUCGUUGUCAACAAAUGAUAUAUAAAGAUAUAUAUAUAGAGACUCGUCAGAUGGAAAGCCACCGCUGGAAGAAUUAUUCCGAAAUCACUUUACAUGCCUUUAUCUCGUGUGUAAUGCGCCUCACGCAGCAAUAGGCUUUAUUUGUUGGAAUCCUUUUCCUUAUCUUUCGUCGUUGUCUCCGUGACCGUCAUCAGAAUGUGGUAGCCCGGUCAAUCUACCGGGAUUGAGCGGGUGUUGUCGGUAAACAGAACCUGGGAAGCGUUCUAAAACCGUCUCCUUCUGCAAAGGACUAUGCUUCAAUAUUUCCCCAUCUAGAGGAACGGUUUGACAGCGAUCUAGAAGUCAAAGAAGAUUCCUUUUGAAAACCCCUUGGAAUCUUGCUACCCUUUAGACCACAUAACAGGUGCAGGUGGAGAUUGUGUUUUUGAAGCUGUUUCUGGGCACACAGGUGGACAUGCAAAGGCACAGCUACACACCCUCCCCAGA